This 250-nucleotide unclassified non-coding RNA is filed under the name Hevea brasiliensis (rubber tree). The record is from RNAcentral. Lineage: Eukaryota; Viridiplantae; Streptophyta; Magnoliopsida; Malpighiales; Euphorbiaceae.
GGGAGACUCCGGCGAGCAAUUCGACGUCAUCGUCGUCGGCGCCGGUAUAAUGGGCAGCUGCGCCGCCUACGAAGCGGCGAAGCGCGGCCACCGCGUGCUCCUCCUUGAGCGUUUCGACUUCCUCCACCACCUCGGCUCCUCCCACGGUGAAUCCCGCACCAUCCGCACCACCUAUCCUGAACCCUACUACCCCUCCAUGGUAAUGGAAUCCUUCCGUCUCUGGGAUCAAGCCCAGUCAGCGGCCGGCUAC